CCUACGGGCGGCUGUAGUGGGGAAUAUUGGACAAUGGGCGAAAGCCUGAUCCAGCCAUGCCGCGUGUGUGAAGAAGGCCUUCGGGUUGUAAAGCACUUUCAGUGGGGAAGAAAGCCUUGGGGCUAAUACCCUCGAGGAAGGACAUCACCCACAGAAGAAGCACCGGCUAACUCCGUGCCAGCAGCCGCGGUAAUACGGAGGGUGCGAGCGUUAAUCGGAAUUACUGGGCGUAAAGCGCGCGUAGGCGGUCUGAUAAGCCGGUUGUGAAAGCCCCGGGCUCAACCUGGGAACGGCAUCCGGAACUGUCAGGCUAGAGUGCAGGAGAGGAAGGUAGAAUUCCCGGUGUAGCGGUGAAAUGCGUAGAGAUCGGGAGGAAUACCAGUGGCGAAGGCGGCCUUCUGGACUGACACUGACGCUGAGGUGCGAAAGCGUGGGUAGCAAACAGGACUAGAUACCCGAGUAGUC
Molecule: ribosomal RNA, 465 nt
Filed under: Vreelandella stevensii
Lineage: Bacteria; Pseudomonadati; Pseudomonadota; Gammaproteobacteria; Oceanospirillales; Halomonadaceae
Description: partial 16S ribosomal RNA
Rfam family: Bacterial small subunit ribosomal RNA
Source: RNAcentral